Non-coding RNA from Paramormyrops kingsleyae, 533 nucleotides. Lineage: Eukaryota; Metazoa; Chordata; Actinopteri; Osteoglossiformes; Mormyridae. The record is from RefSeq and is a predicted model, not a curated record.
CCUAUUCUCCACGCGUGCGCAGUGGUCACUUUCACAGGCGACAAUGAGGCUCACUUUGAAUCGCGCAGGGACACUAAAAUGGUUUCAACUCAUUUUCGCUGCUGCAAAUGGCCACACAGGGACAUGGUACUUCACCGUGUACAAAUGAAGUAUGGAACUUCAGGCUUUAAGGGCCACAGUGCUCAUACGGCAAACUGAGAAAGCACAAAACACUGCAGUACUUUGGGGGCUGGAACCCUCCCCUCAUGUACUGUACUACAAGUGACCUGUUCCAUCUAGAGGUAUUGAUGAAUUCCUGACAUACAGCAGCUGAUCAGCAGGUUGGGACGGAUUGGUAAGUUGUCCACAGUGAGUACAGGCACUCAUGCCCAUACAGUUAUAUCUCUCACAGGGUCAAUGACAGUUUGGGGAAGUCAUGUCACAAUCACAUUAUAUUCCAUAAUAAAUGCACAGCGAGUUAUCAGCAUAACCAAGUUUUAAAAACAAGAACCACAUCUUCUCUAAAAUCCAAAAAUUAAAUAUAAAAAAAAAAA